UGGGGAAUUUUGGACAAUGGGGGAAACCCUGAUCCAGCCAUCCCGCGUGUGCGAUGAAGGCCUUCGGGUUGUAAAGCACUUUUGGCAGGAAAGAAACGUCGCGGGUUAAUACCCCGCGAAACUGACGGUACCUGCAGAAUAAGCACCGGCUAACUACGUGCCAGCAGCCGCGGUAAUACGUAGGGUGCAAGCGUUAAUCGGAAUUACUGGGCGUAAAGCGUGCGCAGGCGGUUCGGAAAGAAAGAUGUGAAAUCCCAGAGCUUAACUUUGGAACUGCAUUUUUAACUACCGGGCUAGAGUGUGUCAGAGGGAGGUGGAAUUCCGCGUGUAGCAGUGAAAUGCGUAGAUAUGCGGAGGAACACCGAUGGCGAAGGCAGCCUCCUGGGAUAACACUGACGCUCAUGCACGAAAAGCGUGGGGGGCAAACAGGAUUAGAUACCCUGGUAGUCCACGCCCUAAACGAUGUCAACUAGCUGUUGGGGCCUUCGGGCCUUGGUAGCGCAGCUAACGCGUGAAGUUGACCGCCUGGGGAGUACGGUCGCAAGAUUAAGACUCAAAUGAAUUGACGGGGUCAUAGCUGUUUCCU
Molecule: ribosomal RNA, 586 nt
Filed under: uncultured bacterium
Lineage: Bacteria
Description: partial 16S ribosomal RNA
Rfam family: Bacterial small subunit ribosomal RNA
Source: RNAcentral